GCCUACACAUGCAAGUCGAGCGGUAACAGGUCCAGCUUGCUGGAUGCUGACGAGCGGCGGACGGGUGAGUAAUGCAUAGGAAUCUACCCGGUAGUGGGGGAUAACCUGGGGAAACCCAGGCUAAUACCGCAUACGUCCUACGGGAGAAAGGGGGCUUUGGCUCCCGCUAUCGGAUGAGCCUAUGCCGGAUUAGCUGGUUGGUGAGGUAACGGCUCACCAAGGCGACGAUCCGUAGCUGGUCUGAGAGGAUGAUCAGCCACAUCGGGACUGAGACACGGCCCGAACUCCUACGGGAGGCAGCAGUGGGGAAUAUUGGACAAUGGGGGCAACCCUGAUCCAGCCAUGCCGCGUGUGUGAAGAAGGCCCUCGGGUUGUAAAGCACUUUCAGCGAGGAAGAACGCCUGGUGGUUAAUACCCGCCAGGAAAGACAUCACUCGCAAAAGAAGCACCGGCUAACUCCGUGCCAGCAGCCGCGGUAAUACGGAGGGUGCAAGCGUUAAUCGGAAUUACUGGGCGUAAAGCGCGCGUAGGUGGCUUGAUAAGCCGGUUGUGAAAGCCCCGGGCUCAACCUGGGAACGGCAUCCGGAACUAUCAGGCUAGAGUGCAGGAGAGGAAGGUAGAAUUCCCGGUGUAGCGGUGAAAUGCGUAGAGAUCGGGAGGAAUACCAGUGGCGAAGGCGGCCUUCUGGACUGACACUGACACUGAGGUGCGAAAGCGUGGGUAGCACACAGGAUUAGAUACCCUGGUAGUCCACGCCGUAAACGAUGUCGACCAGCCGUUGGGUGCCUAGCGCACUUUGUGGCGAAGUUAACGCGAUAAGUCGACCGCCUGGGGAGUACGGCCGCACGUUAAAACUCAAAUGAAUUGACGGGGGCCGCACAAGCGGUGGAGCAUGUGGUUUAAUUCGAUGCACGCGAAGAACCUUACCUACCCUUGACAUCCUGCGAACUUGGUAGAGAUACCUUGUGCCUUCGGGAGCGCAAAGACUGUGCUGCAUGUCUGUCGUCAGCUCAUGUUUGUGAAUGGUGGAUAAGUCCCGUGACGAGCGUCACCCUGACUUAUUUGCAGCGGAGUGUGCUCGGUACUCUUACGAACUGG
RNAcentral lists this ribosomal RNA (1098 nucleotides) under Halomonas sp. HL26. RNAcentral's name for it is "bacterial SSU rRNA". It matches the Rfam family "Bacterial small subunit ribosomal RNA", at positions 46 to 1152 of the family's 1533-position model. Lineage: Bacteria; Pseudomonadati; Pseudomonadota; Gammaproteobacteria; Oceanospirillales; Halomonadaceae. The record is from RNAcentral.